Molecule: unclassified non-coding RNA, 419 nt
Filed under: Vatairea macrocarpa
Lineage: Eukaryota; Viridiplantae; Streptophyta; Magnoliopsida; Fabales; Fabaceae
Description: partial contains external transcribed spacer and 18S ribosomal RNA
Source: RNAcentral
CAUCGAACGGUUGGCAUACAACCCUCUUCAGCAAACAUCGGUCCCAUUGCGGGCUGGGUGUUUCGCUUGCGGUUCCUGUGUUGUGUUCCUAUAUAACGGUAUUCAUGUUGGCUCGCAAGACCCUUUCCAUCCGCGGCCUCUUUGGUGGGGUGGUCGGAGGAUUUCGAAGUAGUACUUGUGCUCCCGGUUUGUCGUGUGUUUAAAUGGCCAACGCGGCUCACAAGUAUCUAUUGGUCUCCUGGAUGCGGUGCAUGCGGUGAACACGGGUUCAUUGUCCCGUUGUGUCCCUUCAAAUUUUCGGUUGGCUUGAAUGACUCUUGCCACUGAGCGUGUUUUGCUUGCCUCUUGAGCGGCAAUACUUGCGCGGUGUGCAAUGUCAUGAAAGGAUGCUACCUGGUUGAUCCUGCCAGUAGUCAUAU